This 328-nucleotide RNase P RNA is filed under the name bovine gut metagenome. RNAcentral's name for it is "Bacterial RNase P class B". It matches the Rfam family "Bacterial RNase P class B". Rfam says of the family: Ribonuclease P (RNase P) is a ubiquitous endoribonuclease, found in archaea, bacteria and eukarya as well as chloroplasts and mitochondria. Its best characterised activity is the generation of mature 5'-ends of tRNAs by cleaving the 5'-leader elements of precursor-tRNAs. The record is from RNAcentral.
UGGCAAAUGCUGCAUUUUUAAUGUAGAGGAAAGUCCAUGCUCGCACAAGCUGUGAUGCUUGUAGUGUUUGUGUCUAGAGAAAAAAUAAUCUAGAGUAGCUUUGCUAACGGCUCCGAGGCAACCUUAAAUGGUUGUAGUAGGUAUAAAAGUGCCAAAGAGACGAGCUUAUUUGGAAACGAAUAAGGUGGAACGUGGUAAACCCCGCAAGCGAGAAACCCAAAAUUUGGUAGGGGAACUUUUACGAAGGAAUCAAACGGAGUAAAGGAUAACUUAGGUUAUAGAUAAAUAUUUGCCGCUUACUUAGGUAAGUACAGAACAUGGCUUAUAA